This 620-nucleotide ribosomal RNA is filed under the name Callithamnion granulatum. Its description in RNAcentral is "eukaryotic LSU rRNA". It matches the Rfam family "Eukaryotic large subunit ribosomal RNA", at positions 336 to 1011 of the family's 3401-position model. Lineage: Eukaryota; Rhodophyta; Florideophyceae; Ceramiales; Callithamniaceae. The record is from RNAcentral.
GAUAGCGAACAAGUACCGCGAGGGAAAGUUUAAAAGCACUUUGAAAAGAGAGUGAAAAGAACGUGAAACUGCUACGGUGAAAGCGAAUUGCAUUGACUUUCAAUAUGCACACUGCGUGGUCACUUCGAUUUAUUCGGAGGUAUUCACGUCUAGGAGCAGACUUAUCGCGUGCUUUCUGUAGUCGAUUUUGGGCUAUGGGGGGCAGAGGAUUUUCCUUUUCGGAGUCUGAAGGCGAUAGGGUGGGAGAUGCGAUCCGACCCGUCUUGAAACACGGACCAAGGAGUGUAGCACAUGUGCGAGUCGUAGGGCGUCAAAACCCGAAGGCGGAGUUAACGCAAGUUUUAUCUUUCCUCUAAAACUAGCAGUUUGAGGCGGCAUACGAUCGUUGAUUGUAGGUCUGCCCUGGAGCAUAUGUGGUACGACCCGAAAGAUGGUGAACUAUACCGGAGGAGGGCGAAGCCAGAGGAAACUCUGGUGGAGGCUCGCAGCUGUGCUGACGUGCAAAUCGCUAGUCCGACUCGGGUAUAGGGGCGAAAGACUCAUCGAACCAUCUAGUAGCUGGUUUCCCCCGAAGUUUCUCUCAGGAUAGCGGCCCGACGCGUUGUUGUCAUGUGCGGUAA